RNAcentral lists this ribosomal RNA (253 nucleotides) under uncultured bacterium. RNAcentral describes it as "partial 16S ribosomal RNA". It matches the Rfam family "Bacterial small subunit ribosomal RNA", at positions 524 to 776 of the family's 1533-position model. The record is from RNAcentral.
GACAGAGGAUGCAAGCGUUAUUCGGAAUGAGUGGGCGUAAAGCGUCUGUAGGUGGCUUUUCAAGUCCGCCGUCAAAUCCCAGGGCUCAACCCUGGACAGGCGGUGGAAACUACCAAGCUGGAGUACCGUAGGGGCAGAGGGAAUUUUCGGUGGAGCGGUGAAAUGCGUAGAGAUCGGGAAGAACACCAACGGCGAAAGCACUCUGCUGGGCCGACACUGACACUGAGAGACGAAAGCUAGGGGAGCAAAUGGG